This 22-nucleotide non-coding RNA is filed under the name Mus musculus (house mouse). Lineage: Eukaryota; Metazoa; Chordata; Mammalia; Rodentia; Muridae. The record is from RNAcentral. RNAcentral also lists the same sequence under 1 other name.
UGACUUCUCUCCGAUGCCCAGA